UCUGCUUUGGUUUCUUGACUGAUUUGCCGAUGGACUUGUCUGGAGAUCCAUGGAUUGCUAGCCAGCCUAGAGCUCCUGUCUUCUUCUUGCGCAGACAGAAGCAGCGAGUCUGAAAAUCGCAAUCACCCAGGAAGAAAAUAACACCUCGGUGACCGCUGUGACUUCAGGGGAGAGCUGGGCCCGUUUCAGCCCCUUUGCUGCAAACCUGGCUUGAUUCAUUGCAUGACCUUCAGAGCAUCCUGCUGCAGGGGGAAUUUGUGGGUUCAGCUCAAGUGCUUUAAUUAGCAGCAGAUGAACAUCCCUGAAAAAAUGGCAGCAGCUAAUGAGGAUGAGGUCUGAGGUGAGAGGAGGGCAGGGGACUCCUCGGAUUCGGAGCCAGAUGAGACGACUUCCAUUUUUGGGCCCUUUCUCUUGUAAAACAGCUUGCAUCUGGCCCAGCUGAACCCCAUCACCUCUCAAGGUGCUGUGGCAAAUUUUGAACGGGACCCUCAUUUUCUGUCCUUUCUGCGCUCACCGAUAACCAGCGCAGCACCUGAGCCGCAUCCCCUUGGCCGAGCCUGCCCCGUUUGUGAGAGGUGACCUAGGACCAGAUUUGCUGGGCUUCCCUUCUGCCGGCACAGUCCUGUGCCCGACGGGAGCAGCCGGGGCUGCGGCGGAUGCCUGCUCGCCCCUUUGCACCCAGCGGCUGCUGCUGCUCCCUGAUGACAGGAACGGCCGGGUCGCAGGCUUGCUUCAAAACACAGAUUUAUGAUCUGAGCUCUUCUCCCCAUCUUUCCUUUUAUCUUUCUUUUACUGAAGCAAAUAUAAUACUCAAUGGACAGGCCCGCUAAGCCCAUUUAGUUAGUCACUGGGCCCAGAUGAAGGUCACCCUGCCGAACACUCAUAAUUCCUAUUCAGCACUAUAAAUAUGCAUUUGAUUCAUUGUCUCCUGUCCCUUCCGCCAUGGGGGACGGAAGAAGCGUACCAGCAGCCCCCUGUUCCUCCCUGCAGUGAUGUGAGUCACUGUCAUGGCUCUGAUGCUUCAUCAGAGCAGUAUUAUUCGGCAAUAAUUGUAAUUUAUGCUCUGAAAGU
This is a long non-coding RNA of Gymnogyps californianus (California condor), 1071 nucleotides long. RefSeq lists it as uncharacterized. The record is from RefSeq and is a predicted model, not a curated record. Lineage: Eukaryota; Metazoa; Chordata; Aves; Accipitriformes; Cathartidae. The transcript is spliced from 3 exons.